GAUGAAGAACGUAGCGAAAUGCGAUAAGUAAUGUGAAUUGCAGAAUUCAGUGAAUCAUCGAAUCUUUGAACGCGCAUUGCGCCCGCCAGUAUUCUGGCGGGCAUGCCUGUUCGAGCGUCAUUUCAACCAUCAAGCCCCCGGCUUGUGUUGGGGACCUGCGGCUGCCGCAGGCCCUGAAAACCAGUGGCGGGCUCGCUGUCACACCGAGCGUAGUAGAUUUUCAUCUCGCUCAGGGCGUGCUGCGGGUUCCGGCCGUAAAAAGCCUUAUUUACCCAAGGUUGACCUCGGAUCAGGUAGGAAGACCCGCUGAACUUAAGCAUAUCAAUAAGCGGAGGA
This 336-nucleotide unclassified non-coding RNA is filed under the name soil metagenome. RNAcentral's name for it is "partial contains 5.8S ribosomal RNA, internal transcribed spacer 2, and large subunit ribosomal RNA". The stretch from base 1 to 120 matches the Rfam family "5.8S ribosomal RNA", at positions 35 to 154 of the family's 154-position model. The record is from RNAcentral.